CCGCUGUUUCAUCCUCUUUCCACCUUCAAUUUUGCCUCUUCUUUCCCUCUCUGAUACCUCUAUAAAUACACACACAAGAGACCCAUUUGAUCUUCAGAUUCUAAAGUAUCAGAUUUGAGCUCUUCUUCCAGAGGCCUUGACCAAGAAAUGGUUUCUAUUAAUGUCCCUUCCUGCCCCUCAACAACUGCUAGAACAGCUCUCCCUUGUACCCAGUGAGAUUUAUUUUAUUCCCAGUUCUCUCUUUUGAUUUUCUUUAUUGAAUUUCUAAUAUCUUAACAUCUUAAAUCCCAUCUGGGUUUUCAUCUUAUUCUGUCUUCUUUAAUUUUUUCAAAAUUUUAAACGUAAUUUGGCUUUUGCUUACUUUGCUUUUUUCCAUUCAUGUUUACUUUUUCUAGUCAAUGGAUUCUUUGUUUGAUUCAUUCGUUCUUUUAUGAAAAUGAAUGGCUUUUUGUCAUGAACUUUAGUUUUAUUUCGCGUCAGUUGAUCAUUUUGUUUGAUUAGUAUCAUAUAGAAGGUGGGAUUUUUGUUUACCCUUACUGUAUUUUUAUUAGAUUUAACUUUUUCAUGAAGUAUUUUAGAAGAAUAAUUUGUAGAAUGGAUAUUAAUGCGAACGUACUUGAUAUUGUGCUCAAGCAAUGAGCUAUCCCUGAUCCCUCCAUUUGGUUGGCAAUGACUUCAAAGGAACAAAAUUUGUUACCGCUUAUUUCUAUGAACAAACUGGAAAGUAAUCAAUCAUCCAAGUAGACGGCUGCACUUAUUUUACCACUUUAUCGUUGAUAAUAGUUUUUUUUUUUUUUU
This 798-nucleotide unclassified non-coding RNA is filed under the name Hevea brasiliensis (rubber tree). The record is from RNAcentral. Lineage: Eukaryota; Viridiplantae; Streptophyta; Magnoliopsida; Malpighiales; Euphorbiaceae.